AUGAACGCUGGCGGCGUGCCUAAUACAUGCAAGUCGAGCGAACAGAUGAGGAGCUUGCUCCUCUGACGUUAGCGGCGGACGGGUGAGUAACACGUGGAUAACCUACCUAUAAGACUGGGAUAACUUCGGGAAACCGGAGCUAAUACCGGAUAAUAUAUUGAACCGCAUGGUUCAAUAGUGAAAGACGGUUUUGCUGUCACUUAUAGAUGGAUCCGCGCCGCAUUAGCUAGUUGGUAAGGUAACGGCUUACCAAGGCAACGAUGCGUAGCCGACCUGAGGGGGUGAUCGGCCACACUGGAACUGAGACACGGUCCAGACUCCUACGGGAGGCAGCAGUAGGGAAUCUUCCGCAAUGGGCGAAAGCUUGACGGAGCAACGCCGCGUGAGUGAUGAAGGUCUUCGGAUCGUAAAACUCUGUUAUUAGGGAAGAACAAAUGUGUAAGUAACUAUGCACGUCUUGACGGUACCUAAUCAGAAAGCCACGGCUAACUACGUG
RNAcentral lists this ribosomal RNA (496 nucleotides) under uncultured bacterium. RNAcentral's name for it is "partial 16S ribosomal RNA". It matches the Rfam family "Bacterial small subunit ribosomal RNA", at positions 29 to 507 of the family's 1533-position model. The record is from RNAcentral.